RNAcentral lists this unclassified non-coding RNA (348 nucleotides) under soil metagenome. Its description in RNAcentral is "partial contains 5.8S ribosomal RNA, internal transcribed spacer 2, and large subunit ribosomal RNA". The stretch from base 1 to 120 matches the Rfam family "5.8S ribosomal RNA", at positions 35 to 154 of the family's 154-position model. The record is from RNAcentral.
GAUGAAGAACGCAGCGAAACGCGAUAAGUAAUGUGAAUUGCAGAAUUCAGUGAAUCAUCGAAUCUUUGAACGCACAUUGCGCCCGCUGGUAUUCCGGCGGGCAUGCCUGUUCGAGCGUCAUUUCAACCCUCAAGCCCCCGGGUUUGGUGUUGGGGAUCGGCUCUGCCCUUCUGGGCGGUGCCGCCCCCGAAAUACAUUGGCGGUCUCGCUGCAGCCUCCAUUGCGUAGUAGCUAACACCUCGCAACUGGAACGCGGCGCGGCCAUGCCGUAAAACCCCAACUUCUGAAUGUUGACCUCGGAUCAGGUAGGAAUACCCGCUGAACUUAAGCAUAUCAAUAAGCGGAGGA